This 702-nucleotide ribosomal RNA is filed under the name uncultured Pseudomonadota bacterium. RNAcentral's name for it is "bacterial SSU rRNA". It matches the Rfam family "Bacterial small subunit ribosomal RNA", at positions 59 to 755 of the family's 1533-position model. Lineage: Bacteria; Pseudomonadati; Pseudomonadota. The record is from RNAcentral.
AAGUCGAACGGCAGCACGGAGCUUGCUCUGGUGGCGAGUGGCGAACGGGUGAGUAAUAUAUCGGAACGUACCCUGGAGUGGGGGAUAACGGAGCGAAAGUUACGCUAAUACCGCAUACGAUCUAAGGAUGAAAGUGGGGGAUCGCAAGACCUCAUGCUCGUGGAGCGGCCGAUAUCUGAUUAGCUAGUUGGUAGGGUAAAAGCCUACCAAGGCAUCGAUCAGUAGCUGGUCUGAGAGGACGACCAGCCACACUGGAACUGAGACACGGUCCAGACUCCUACGGGAGGCAGCAGUGGGGAAUUUUGGACAAUGGGCGCAAGCCUGAUCCAGCAAUGCCGCGUGAGUGAAGAAGGCCUUCGGGUUGUAAAGCUCUUUUGUCAGGGAAGAAACGGUGGGAGCUAAUAUCUCCUGCUAAUGACGGUACCUGAAGAAUAAGCACCGGCUAACUACGUGCCAGCAGCCGCGGUAAUACGUAGGGUGCAAGCGUUAAUCGGAAUUACUGGGCGUAAAGCGUGCGCAGGCGGUUUUGUAAGUCUGAUGUGAAAUCCCCGGGCUCAACCUGGGAAUUGCAUUGGAGACUGCAAGGCUAGAAUCUGGCAGAGGGGGGUAGAAUUCCACGUGUAGCAGUGAAAUGCGUAGAUAUGUGGAGGAACACCGAUGGCGAAGGCAGCCCCCCUGGGUCAAGAUUGACGCUCAUGCACG